RNAcentral lists this ribosomal RNA (381 nucleotides) under uncultured bacterium. RNAcentral describes it as "bacterial SSU rRNA". It matches the Rfam family "Bacterial small subunit ribosomal RNA", at positions 29 to 412 of the family's 1533-position model. The record is from RNAcentral.
AUUGAACGCUGGCGGCGUGCCUAACACAUGCAAGUCGAGCGGCAGCGCGGGAGCAAUCCUGGCGGCGAGCGGCGGACGGGUGAGUAAUGCUUGGGAAUCUGCCUGUUAGUGGGGGACAACCCGGGGAAACUCGGGCUAAUACCGCAUACGCACUACGGUGGAAAGCCGGGGACCGCAAGGCCUGGCGCUAACAGAUGAGCCCAAGUCGGAUUAGCUAGUUGGUAGGGUAACGGCCACCAAGGCGACGAUCCGUAACUGGUCUGAGAGGACGACCAGUCACACCGGAACUGAGACACGGUCCGGACUCCUACGGGAGGCAGCAGUGGGGAAUAUUGGACAAUGGGGGAAACCCUGAUCCAGCGACGCCGCGUGGGUGAAGAA